Molecule: microRNA precursor, 104 nt
Filed under: Chlamydomonas reinhardtii
Lineage: Eukaryota; Viridiplantae; Chlorophyta; Chlorophyceae; Chlamydomonadales; Chlamydomonadaceae
Source: RNAcentral
ACGGCUCCGGUCAUCAAUUGCUCUUUCUGAUGAGCGAUGCCGUGGCCUCCGCGUCCAGGCCACGGCAUCGCUCAUCAGAUAGAGCAAUUGAUGACCGUGAGGCG